GUGCUCACUUUGGCAGCACUAAAAUUGGAAUAAUACACAGAAGAUUAACAUAGCUCCUGUACAAGAAUGAAACACAAAAAAUGAAUCAGCACCUACUAUGU
Small nuclear RNA from Loxodonta africana (African savanna elephant), 101 nucleotides. Lineage: Eukaryota; Metazoa; Chordata; Mammalia; Proboscidea; Elephantidae. The record is from Ensembl.